Molecule: ribosomal RNA, 643 nt
Filed under: uncultured bacterium
Lineage: Bacteria
Description: bacterial SSU rRNA
Rfam family: Bacterial small subunit ribosomal RNA
Source: RNAcentral
CGCGGCCUAUCAGCUUGUUGGUGAGGUAAUGGCCCACCAAGGCUUCGACGGGUAGCCGGCCUGAGAGGGUGACCGGCCACACUGGGACUGAGACACGGCCCAGACUCCUACGGGAGGCAGCAGUGGGGAAUAUUGGACAAUGGGCGAAAGCCUGAUCCAGCAACGCCGCGUGAGGGAUGACGGCCUUCGGGUUGUAAACCUCUUUCAGCGCAGACGAAGCGAAAGUGACGGUAUGCGCAGAAGAAGCACCGGCCAACUACGUGCCAGCAGCCGCGGUAAUACGUAGGGUGCGAGCGUUGUCCGGAAUUAUUGGGCGUAAAGGGCUCGUAGGCGGUCUGUUGCGUCAGGAGUGAAAACUCGGGGCUUAACCCCGAGCCUGCUUCUGAUACGGGCAGACUAGAGGUAUGCAGGGGGGAACGGAAUUCCUGGUGUAGCGGUGAAAUGCGCAGAUAUCAGGAGGAACACCGGUGGCGAAGGCGGUUCUCUGGGCAUUACCUGACGCUGAGGAGCGAAAGUGUGGGGAGCGAACAGGAUUAGAUACCCUGGUAGUCCACACCGUGAACGUUGGGCGCUAGGUGUGGGACUCAUUCCACGAGUUCCGUGCCGCAGCUAACGCAUUAAGUUCCCCGCCUGGGGAGUACGG